RNAcentral lists this ribosomal RNA (1025 nucleotides) under Salmonella enterica subsp. enterica serovar Newport. RNAcentral's name for it is "bacterial SSU rRNA". It matches the Rfam family "Bacterial small subunit ribosomal RNA", at positions 108 to 1129 of the family's 1533-position model. RNAcentral also lists the same sequence under 1 other name. The record is from RNAcentral. Lineage: Bacteria; Pseudomonadati; Pseudomonadota; Gammaproteobacteria; Enterobacterales; Enterobacteriaceae.
GAGUAAUGUCUGGGAAACUGCCUGAUGGAGGGGGAUAACUACUGGAAACGGUGGCUAAUACCGCAUAACGUCGCAAGACCAAAGAGGGGGACCUUCGGGCCUCUUGCCAUCAGAUGUGCCCAGAUGGGAUUAGCUAGUUGGUGAGGUAACGGCUCACCAAGGCGACGAUCCCUAGCUGGUCUGAGAGGAUGACCAGCCACACUGGAACUGAGACACGGUCCAGACUCCUACGGGAGGCAGCAGUGGGGAAUAUUGCACAAUGGGCGCAAGCCUGAUGCAGCCAUGCCGCGUGUAUGAAGAAGGCCUUCGGGUUGUAAAGUACUUUCAGCGGGGAGGAAGGUGUUGUGGUUAAUAACCGCAGCAAUUGACGUUACCCGCAGAAGAAGCACCGGCUAACUCCGUGCCAGCAGCCGCGGUAAUACGGAGGGUGCAAGCGUUAAUCGGAAUUACUGGGCGUAAAGCGCACGCAGGCGGUCUGUCAAGUCGGAUGUGAAAUCCCCGGGCUCAACCUGGGAACUGCAUUCGAAACUGGCAGGCUUGAGUCUUGUAGAGGGGGGUAGAAUUCCAGGUGUAGCGGUGAAAUGCGUAGAGAUCUGGAGGAAUACCGGUGGCGAAGGCGGCCCCCUGGACAAAGACUGACGCUCAGGUGCGAAAGCGUGGGGAGCAAACAGGAUUAGAUACCCUGGUAGUCCACGCCGUAAACGAUGUCUACUUGGAGGUUGUGCCCUUGAGGCGUGGCUUCCGGAGCUAACGCGUUAAGUAGACCGCCUGGGGAGUACGGCCGCAAGGUUAAAACUCAAAUGAAUUGACGGGGGCCCGCACAAGCGGUGGAGCAUGUGGUUUAAUUCGAUGCAACGCGAAGAACCUUACCUGGUCUUGACAUCCACAGAACUUUCCAGAGAUGGAUUGGUGCCUUCGGGAACUGUGAGACAGGUGCUGCAUGGCUGUCGUCAGCUCGUGUUGUGAAAUGUUGGGUUAAGUCCCGCAACGAGCGCAACCCUUAUCCUUUGUUGCCAGCGAUUAGG